AAUCAACGCUGGCGGCGUGCCUCAGACAUGCAAGUCGAACGCGAAAGUCCCCUUCGGGGGAUGAUUAGAGUGGCGCACGGGUGAGUAACACGUAGGUAAUCUACCUUCGAGUGGGGAAUAACUCAGGGAAACUUGAGCUAAUACCGCAUAAUGCAGCGGCACCACAUGGUGACAGUUGUUAAAGCAUUUAUGCGCUUGAAGAGGAGCCUGCGGCGGAUAGCUAGUUGGUAAGGUAAUGGCUUACCAAGGCUACGAUCUGUAACCGGCCUGAGAGGGCGGACGGUCACACUGACACUGAAUAACGGGUCAGACUCCUACGGGAGGCAGCAGUCGGGAA
This 337-nucleotide ribosomal RNA is filed under the name uncultured bacterium. Its description in RNAcentral is "bacterial SSU rRNA". It matches the Rfam family "Bacterial small subunit ribosomal RNA", at positions 32 to 361 of the family's 1533-position model. The record is from RNAcentral.